Molecule: ribosomal RNA, 306 nt
Filed under: cf. Mallecolobus sp. Chile MA188
Lineage: Eukaryota; Metazoa; Arthropoda; Arachnida; Araneae; Orsolobidae
Description: partial 12S ribosomal RNA
Source: RNAcentral
AAGUAGUAAAAAUUAAACUAAUAUAGUUUGGCGGCAAAUUAAUAAUCAAAGGAACUCGUGUUGUAAUCGAAAAUCCUCGUUAAAUUUUUCUUUUGAACAAAGUUUAUAUACCGCUGUAUAAGACCAAAACAAAAUUUUUAGCUCUCUAAAAAUUUUUUAAAAAUUCAAGUCAAGGUGUAACCAAUUUAAAAGAUAACAUAAGUUACAUUAAAAAAUAUUUAAGAAAUUUUAAAUAAAAUGAAAAAGAAAAAGGAUUUGACUGUAAUAAUAAAUCAAUAAUUUAUUAAGAAAAAUAAAUUAUUGUGC